This 1036-nucleotide ribosomal RNA is filed under the name Tigriopus japonicus. RNAcentral's name for it is "large subunit ribosomal RNA". The stretch from base 676 to 990 matches the Rfam family "Archaeal large subunit ribosomal RNA", at positions 2150 to 2716 of the family's 2987-position model. Lineage: Eukaryota; Metazoa; Arthropoda; Copepoda; Harpacticoida; Harpacticidae. The record is from RNAcentral.
AAACUUAGGUUAAAUAAACCUACUAAAUUUCAAAUUUAGUAAUGAGUAGAGUCAGUUUUUGAGGAGAUUCGAAAAAAGCAAUGUAUAGUUCUUUUGGCAUCAUGAAAUUCCUAAAACCUAAAAAAUUUUUAAGUUCUUAGAGGAUUUAAUCUUCCGGUUAGUGCAUUCGGUUUCAAACGAGUUUCCAAAACCGGAAAAACGGGAUAUCCGAUAUUUUCCUUUUUUAAUUGCGUUUUAUGAAUUUAUUUCAAGGUUUUGAGUAAGCUUAAAACUGGAGAGGGAUUAGCUUUUCCAGACUAAAGACAAAAUUUUUUGAAUUUAGUAAUACGUAAUAGUAGAACUUUAGAAUGAAUUUAUUUAUUUUUAACGCCUCAAAAAUAAGAGUAGAAAAUGGGAUUUUAAGUAAAAAAGUAGUACAUUAAUACACUAAAGAUAAUUCUUUAAGUUAUCGAGUUAAAGUUAUCAACAAUUGCACUUGUUCCGGUUCAAACUGUUUGCCAAAUUCUAAAAAGACUAAUCUUUGAAACUCUGCCCGGUGAAAAAAUUUAACGGCUUGACAAGGUAGCAAAAUAAAUAGCCUUUUAAUUGAGGGCGAGAAUGAACGGUUUAAUUGAGUUGGGGUCUAAAAGUUGAUUUAAUUGAAAUAAAUUUUUGGGUGAAAAUUCCCAGGCGUGACUCAGGGACGAGAAGACCCUAAAAUCUUUCGUUUUUCUUUAGAGAAUUGUGAAUCUUUAUAUUUGGUUGGGGCAACCUGAAAAAUUUAAUUACUUAUUAAGGAAUAGCGCUGAACUCCGACACUGAGGGCCAAGAUACUUUAGGGAUAACAGCAUUAAAGGCCUGAGAGUUCCUAUCAACAGUGCCUGAAUGACCUCGAUGUUGAAUUAAGAAAAUCUUUAGGAGUAGAAGCUUAAAGAUAAGGUCUGUUCGACCUGUUAUUCUUACAUGAUUUGAGUUAAGAUCGACGUGAGUCAGAUUGGUUUCUAUCUUGAGUUUGUAGUUAUAUUUAUGUAGUACGAAAGGAAUUUAAAUUAUUUAU